AACCAUAGAAACCUGCGGAGUACCUGCGGAGGGAUCAUUACAAGUGACCCCGGUCUAACCACCGGGAUGUUCAUAACCCUUUGUUGUCCGACUCUGUUGCCUCCGGGGCGACCCUGCCUUCGGGCGGGGGCUCCGGGUGGACACUUCAAACUCUUGCGUAACUUUGCAGUCUGAGUAAACUUAAUUAAUAAAUUAAAACUUUCAACAAUGGAUCU
Molecule: unclassified non-coding RNA, 215 nt
Filed under: soil metagenome
Description: partial contains 5.8S ribosomal RNA, internal transcribed spacer 2, and large subunit ribosomal RNA
Source: RNAcentral